GCCCAGCUAGCUCAGUCGGUAGAGCACAAAACUCUUAAUCUCGGGGUCAUGGGUUCAAGCCCCACGUUGGGCG
RNAcentral lists this transfer RNA (73 nucleotides) under Octopus vulgaris (common octopus). It matches the Rfam family "tRNA". Rfam says of the family: Transfer RNA (tRNA) molecules are approximately 80 nucleotides in length. The record is from Rfam by way of RNAcentral. Lineage: Eukaryota; Metazoa; Mollusca; Cephalopoda; Octopoda; Octopodidae. RNAcentral also lists the same sequence under 1 other name.